ACGGAAGGCAGCAGUCGGGAAUAUUGCGCAAUGGAGGGAACUCUGACGCAGUGACGCCGCGUAUAGGAAGAAGGUUUUCGGAUUGUAAACUAUUGUCUGCGGGGAAGAAGAAAGACAGUACCUGCAAAGAAAGCUCCGGCUAACUACGUGCCAGCAGCCGCGGUAAUACGUAGGGAGCAAGCGUUAUCCGGACUUAUUGGGUGUAAAGGGUGCGUAGACGGGAAAUUAAGUUAGUUGUGAAAUCCCUCGGCUCAACUGAGGACGUGCAACUAAAACUGGUUUUCUUGAGUGCAGGAGAGGAAAGUGGAAUUCCUAGUGUAGCGGUGAAAUGCGUAGAUAUUAGGAGGAACACCAGUGGCGAAGGCGACUUUCUGGACUGUAACUGACGUUGAGGCACGAAAGUGUGGGGAGCAAACAGGAUUAGAUACCCUGGUA
RNAcentral lists this ribosomal RNA (435 nucleotides) under uncultured Oscillospiraceae bacterium. RNAcentral's name for it is "bacterial SSU rRNA". It matches the Rfam family "Bacterial small subunit ribosomal RNA", at positions 341 to 792 of the family's 1533-position model. Lineage: Bacteria; Bacillati; Bacillota; Clostridia; Eubacteriales; Oscillospiraceae. The record is from RNAcentral.